RNAcentral lists this ribosomal RNA (233 nucleotides) under uncultured bacterium. Its description in RNAcentral is "partial 16S ribosomal RNA". It matches the Rfam family "Archaeal small subunit ribosomal RNA", at positions 474 to 700 of the family's 1478-position model. The record is from RNAcentral.
AACCAGCACCCUCAAGUGGUCAGGAUGAUUAUUGGGCCUAAAGCAUCCGUAGCUCGUUUUGUAAGUUUUCGUUAAAUACCACUACGCUUAACGUAUGGGCGUGCCGGGAAGUACUGCAUAACUAGGAAGUGGGAGAGGUAGACGGUACUCGGUAGGAAGGGGUAAAAGUACCUUUGUAUCUAUUGAUGACCACCUGUGGCGAAGGCGGUCUACCAGAACACGUUCGACGGUGA